RNAcentral lists this ribosomal RNA (1889 nucleotides) under Staphylococcus aureus. Its description in RNAcentral is "partial 23S ribosomal RNA". It matches the Rfam family "Bacterial large subunit ribosomal RNA", at positions 941 to 2833 of the family's 2925-position model. Lineage: Bacteria; Bacillati; Bacillota; Bacilli; Caryophanales; Staphylococcaceae. The record is from RNAcentral.
GAAUUCAGACAAACUCCGAAUGCCAAUUAAUUUAACUUGGGAGUCAGAACAUGGGUGAUAAGGUCCGUGUUCGAAAGGGAAACAGCCCAGACCACCAGCUAAGGUCCCAAAAUAUAUGUUAAGUGGAAAAGGAUGUGGCGUUGCCCAGACAACUAGGAUGUUGGCUUAGAAGCAGCCAUCAUUUAAAGAGUGCGUAAUAGCUCACUAGUCGAGUGACACUGCGCCGAAAAUGUACCGGGGCUAAACAUAUUACCGAAGCUGUGGAUUGUCCUUUGGACAAUGGUAGGAGAGCGUUCUAAGGGCGUUGAAGCAUGAUCGUAAGGACAUGUGGAGCGCUUAGAAGUGAGAAUGCCGGUGUGAGUAGCGAAAGACGGGUGAGAAUCCCGUCCACCGAUUGACUAAGGUUUCCAGAGGAAGGCUCGUCCGCUCUGGGUUAGUCGGGUCCUAAGCUGAGGCCGACAGGCGUAGGCGAUGGAUAACAGGUUGAUAUUCCUGUACCACCUAUAAUCGUUUUAAUCGAUGGGGGGACGCAGUAGGAUAGGCGAAGCGUGCGAUUGGAUUGCACGUCUAAGCAGUAAGGCUGAGUAUUAGGCAAAUCCGGUACUCGUUAAGGCUGAGCUGUGAUGGGGAGAAGACAUUGAGUCUUCGAGUCGUUGAUUUCACACUGCCGAGAAAAGCCUCUAGAUAGAAAAUAGGUGCCCGUACCGCAAACCGACACAGGUAGUCAAGAUGAGAAUUCUAAGGUGAGCGAGCGAACUCUCGUUAAGGAACUCGGCAAAAUGACCCCGUAACUUCGGGAGAAGGGGUGCUCUUUAGGGUUAACGCCCAGAAGAGCCGCAGUGAAUAGGCCCAAGCGACUGUUUAUCAAAAACACAGGUCUCUGCUAAACCGUAAGGUGAUGUAUAGGGGCUGACGCCUGCCCGGUGCUGGAAGGUUAAGAGGAGUGGUUAGCUUCUGCGAAGCUACGAAUCGAAGCCCCAGUAAACGGCGGCCGUAACUAUAACGGUCCUAAGGUAGCGAAAUUCCUUGUCGGGUAAGUUCCGACCCGCACGAAAGGCGUAACGAUUUGGGCACUGUCUCAACGAGAGACUCGGUGAAAUCAUAGUACCUGUGAAGAUGCAGGUUACCCGCGACAGGACGGAAAGACCCCGUGGAGCUUUACUGUAGCCUGAUAUUGAAAUUCGGCACAGCUUGUACAGGAUAGGUAGGAGCCUUUGAAACGUGAGCGCUAGCUUACGUGGAGGCGCUGGUGGGAUACUACCCUAGCUGUGUUGGCUUUCUAACCCGCACCACUUAUCGUGGUGGGAGACAGUGUCAGGCGGGCAGUUUGACUGGGGCGGUCGCCUCCUAAAAGGUAACGGAGGCGCUCAAAGGUUCCCUCAGAAUGGUUGGAAAUCAUUCAUAGAGUGUAAAGGCAUAAGGGAGCUUGACUGCGAGACCUACAAGUCGAGCAGGGUCGAAAGACGGACUUAGUGAUCCGGUGGUUCCGCAUGGAAGGGCCAUCGCUCAACGGAUAAAAGCUACCCCGGGGAUAACAGGCUUAUCUCCCCCAAGAGUUCACAUCGACGGGGAGGUUUGGCACCUCGAUGUCGGCUCAUCGCAUCCUGGGGCUGUAGUCGGUCCCAAGGGUUGGGCUGUUCGCCCAUUAAAGCGGUACGCGAGCUGGGUUCAGAACGUCGUGAGACAGUUCGGUCCCUAUCCGUCGUGGGCGUAGGAAAUUUGAGAGGAGCUGUCCUUAGUACGAGAGGACCGGGAUGGACAUACCUCUGGUGUACCAGUUGUCGUGCCAACGGCAUAGCUGGGUAGCUAUGUGUGGACGGGAUAAGUGCUGAAAGCAUCUAAGCAUGAAGCCCCCCUCAAGAUGAGAUUUCCCAACUUCGGUUAUAAGA